This 71-nucleotide transfer RNA is filed under the name Arthonia cupressina. RNAcentral's name for it is "tRNA-Arg". It matches the Rfam family "tRNA". Rfam says of the family: Transfer RNA (tRNA) molecules are approximately 80 nucleotides in length. Lineage: Eukaryota; Fungi; Ascomycota; Arthoniomycetes; Arthoniales; Arthoniaceae. The record is from RNAcentral.
AGCGUGUUAGUUAAAUGGCAUAACUGGGCGUUUCGGCCGCUAGAUUGUAAGUUCAAGUCUUACACACGUUA